Jaculus jaculus (lesser Egyptian jerboa) is the source of this 105-nucleotide small nuclear RNA. Lineage: Eukaryota; Metazoa; Chordata; Mammalia; Rodentia; Dipodidae. The record is from Ensembl.
GUGCUCUGUUCAGCAGCACAUAGACUAAAGUUGAACUGAUACAGACAAGAUUAGCCUGCCCUGUGCAAGGAUGACACACAGCUUUAUGAAGAAAUAAAAGUUUGU